UUGGAGGGCAAGUCUGGUGCCAGCAGCCGCGGUAAUUCCAGCUCCAAUAGCGUAUAUUAAAGUUGUUGCAGUUAAAAAGCUCGUAGUUGAAUUUCGGGAUCAGAUUGUCGGUCGUGCCUCGGUACGUACUGGCAUUAUUGGUUCCUACCUUCUGAAGAACCGCGAUGUCAUUAAUUUGGUGUCGUGGGGAAUCAGGACUGUUACUUUGAAAGAAUUAGAGUGUUUAAAGCAGGCGCACGCUUGAAUACAUUAGCAUGGAAUAAUGAAAUAGGACGUUUGAUUCUAUUUUGUUGGUUUCUAGGAUCGACGUAAUGAUUAAUAGGGAUAGUUGGGGGCAUUAGUAUUCAAUUGUCAGAGGUGAAAUUCUUGGAUUUAUUGAAGACUAACUACUGCGAAAGCAUUUGCCAAGGAUGUUUUCAUUAAUCAAGAACGAAAGUUAGGGGAUCGAAGACGAUCAGAUACCGUCGUAGUCUUAACCAUAAACUAUGCCGACUAGGGAUCGGAUGAUGUUAAUUUUAUAAUGGCUCAUUCGGCGCCUUACGGGAAACCAAAGUGUUUGGGUUC
This 564-nucleotide ribosomal RNA is filed under the name uncultured Glomeromycotina. Its description in RNAcentral is "SSU rRNA". It matches the Rfam family "Eukaryotic small subunit ribosomal RNA", at positions 548 to 1114 of the family's 1831-position model. The record is from RNAcentral. Lineage: Eukaryota; Fungi; Glomeromycota.